RNAcentral lists this ribosomal RNA (495 nucleotides) under uncultured bacterium. Its description in RNAcentral is "bacterial SSU rRNA". It matches the Rfam family "Bacterial small subunit ribosomal RNA", at positions 53 to 564 of the family's 1533-position model. RNAcentral also lists the same sequence under 1 other name. The record is from RNAcentral.
ACAUUGAAGUCGAACGAACGACCUCGGGCUUGCCCGGGGAAGUUAGUGGCGGACGGGUGAGUAACGCGUGGGUGACCUGCCCGGAAGUGGGGAAUAACUGCCCGAAAGGGUGGCUAAUACCGCAUGUGGCCACACGUUCGAUCGUGUGACCAAAGCCGCAAGGCGCUUUCGGAGGGGCCUGCGUUCGAUUANCUCGUUGGUGAGGUAACGGCUCACCAAGGCGACGAUCGAUAGGUGGUCUGAGAGGACNAUCACCCAGACUGGGACUGAGACACGGCCCAGACUCCUACGGGAGGCAGCAGUCGGGAAUUUUGCUCAAUGGGCGAAAGCCUGAAGCAGCAACGCCGCGUGAGGGAUGAAGGCCUUCGGGUCGUAAACCUCUUUUCUCANGGACGAUGAUGACGGUACCUGAGGAAUAAGCCACGGCUAACUACGUGCCAGCAGCCGCGGUAAUACGUAGGUGGCAAAGCGUUGUCCNGAUUUACUGGGCGUAAA